AGCUUUGUACAGUGGCAGUAUCGCAGCCAAUGAGGUUUACCUGAGGCCUGAUUAUUGCUAAUUGAAUAUUGCAAUAUAUAGUUCCUCAUUUAGUGACCAAUUUAUAUAAUGGCCUACUCACAGG
RNAcentral lists this small nuclear RNA (124 nucleotides) under Chinchilla lanigera (long-tailed chinchilla). RNAcentral's name for it is "U4 spliceosomal RNA (ENSCLAG00000021013.1)". It matches the Rfam family "U4 spliceosomal RNA". Rfam says of the family: U4 small nuclear RNA (U4 snRNA) is a component of the major U2-dependent spliceosome. Lineage: Eukaryota; Metazoa; Chordata; Mammalia; Rodentia; Chinchillidae. The record is from Rfam by way of RNAcentral.